UAGUGGUGCAUUGUAGUUGCAUUGCGUGUCAAACUUGUGCAAUGUCUCUGCAGUGCAAUCACCA
Biomphalaria glabrata is the source of this 64-nucleotide non-coding RNA. Lineage: Eukaryota; Metazoa; Mollusca; Gastropoda; Planorbidae. The record is from Rfam.